AGUUUAGUGUACGAUUGUGUGUGUGUGCUAUUAUUCCAUAUAGCUGAGGUGUCUGCUCAGAGCUGUGGCAUCGCAGCGUAUCCCCAGAUCCGGGUGGUGAACGGCGUGGAGGCUCGUGCCAACUCCUGGCCUUGGCAGGCGCUCGUGCAGAGGUACUCUGGAGGAAGAUGGGUCAACUACUGUGGAGGAACCCUCAUUGAUAGUCAAUGGGUGCUCACCUCUGCGAGCUGCUUCACGAGUGGCUACAGCUACAGGGUGGUGCUGGGAAAGCACAGUGUGUCCACAUCCGAGUUCGGGGAGGUCACCCCUCCAUUGAGCCUGGCCGUCUGGCAUAGCUACUGGAAUCCCAGCAUCCCGGCGAAUGGGUGAGAAUGCACAUGGGCGACGUGACACCGUGACAUUCAGAGUUGCUAUAGACAGAUAUACAUACAUUCAGAGAGACAUGCAUAUGAUACAUUCAGACGGACAAGAAAUA
Molecule: long non-coding RNA, 475 nt
Organism: Petromyzon marinus (sea lamprey)
Lineage: Eukaryota; Metazoa; Chordata; Hyperoartia; Petromyzontiformes; Petromyzontidae
Source: RefSeq, a predicted model, not a curated record